AUUCAAAACAACACAGAACAGAAUUUGUAUUCAUAUUGUUCAUUAAGAAUGAAUCCAAAAACUGAUCGCGAUGCCAACAGGGAGUAUGAAAGCCCAGGCAAAUAUUUGAGUAAUGGAAAAUCUUCGAACCAAGAGGGUUCUAGCAAAGGCACAGAGAACCAAAAGGGUUCUAGCAAAGGCACAGAGAAAUCACAUGAAUCCACUGGAGAUCCUGUGGGCGAAAAGAAACGCUCUGAAGGAAAAAAAGGUUCUAGAAGCAAUGGUCGAAAUUAAACAAUAAUCACAAACAGGUUUACUCGCAACUACUUAAGUGGAAGGAAAAUAUAUAUGCAGCAACAAAUUCUACUAUUACUGUAACAUCCAACUUUGUUGUUUCCAACUUGUUUAGAGUCUAUAGUUUGCAGUCUAAAUUGAACAAAACAAUAAGUCUAUAUUAUUCUUGUUAAUAAGUUAUUAUAAUUUGGGAUUCACAUGUACGUUUAUUUUUUAUUUCUUUUCUCAAAGUAUUGGUU
Molecule: long non-coding RNA, 512 nt
Organism: Vigna unguiculata (cowpea)
Lineage: Eukaryota; Viridiplantae; Streptophyta; Magnoliopsida; Fabales; Fabaceae
Source: RefSeq, a predicted model, not a curated record